UUUAGGGAGCUCUAAUUUGGAAGUCCUGUUUUCCCCCCAAAUACCAGGACUCCUCCCCAUGCUCAGGGGGAAAACUCUACUGCAAGACCUCCCGUUUCCAGCUGACCAGCAGCCCAGAGAGCCUCCUCCCUGCACAGAAGGGCUCAGGGCAGAGUCCUUUUUCCCGUCAUUGGCUGCAAUGCAUUGAGGAGGACCCCAAGGCAGGGCCUGCGCAUCUGAACUGCCUUGGACUCUGGGGCGCCCUCACUGGAGCUCCCCUCCUGGAACCCAUUUCCUCCAGGAGAAACCUUGAGAAUGAAGACGGGGUCUAAGGCGUCACUUCUCCUUCCUGCCACCAUGUGAAGAAGGACAUGUUUGCUUCCCUUCAGCCAGGAUUGCAAGCUUCCUGAGGCCUCCACAGCCCUGCGGAACUAAUCCCUGGUGGACUCUCGCAUUUGGUGGCAUUACCUGAUUAUCUGUGUGCCCACCAUGUAGCUCCUGGGCUCUCUGCCCACGGCUUGUUCUACAUCAGAAAGAGAAACUGCAAUGACCCCCUCCCUGCCCUCCGGAGCCUCCUUCACCAUCGAGGUGGCUUGGAAAACCCAGACGUAAAAGCUUUAAGGCAGAAGGGGGAAAGCACUGCGGUAAUAAGGAUGAAACUGCCCCCAGCAGGUGCUGGCAAAGUCAGCUCUCGGGGCCUUGUUCUUCCCGUUUGAUCACUGCUUCUCAGCCCUCUCCUCCUCCCACCUCUGCACCCACCCUGCCUCUCUCUCCUCUCUAUGGUCUUUGUUUUCCUCCCUCCCCUUCCCCAACACACAUCCAUGCAUGUUCACACACAUAGAUAAAGGUCUUGCCUUUCAAGGCAUUUAAAAUAAAGUUGGAAGAAAUAUAUGUAUAGUGUAAAGAACACUUCUAUGUCUGGAUUUGCUUGUUAACAUUUUG
RNAcentral lists this long non-coding RNA (921 nucleotides) under Homo sapiens (human). Its description in RNAcentral is "HSALNT0245875". Lineage: Eukaryota; Metazoa; Chordata; Mammalia; Primates; Hominidae. The record is from RNAcentral.